Molecule: ribosomal RNA, 426 nt
Filed under: Vibrio cholerae
Lineage: Bacteria; Pseudomonadati; Pseudomonadota; Gammaproteobacteria; Vibrionales; Vibrionaceae
Description: partial 23S ribosomal RNA
Rfam family: Bacterial large subunit ribosomal RNA
Source: RNAcentral
GGUUAAGUGACUAAGCGUACACGGUGGAUGCCUGGGCAGUCAGAGGCGAUGAAGGACGUACUAACUUGCGAUAAGCGCAGAUAAGGCAGUAAGAGCCGUUUGAGUCUGCGAUUUCCGAAUGGGGAAACCCAACUGCAUAAGCAGUUACUGUUAACUGAAUACAUAGGUUAACAGAGCAAACCGGGGGAACUGAAACAUCUAAGUACCCCGAGGAGAAGAAAUCAACCGAGAUUCCGGUAGUAGCGGCGAGCGAACCUGGAUUAGCCCUUAAGCACUCGGUGAAGUAGGUGAACAAGCUGGAAAGCUUGGCGAUACAGGGUGAUAGCCCCGUAACCGACGCUUCAUCGAGCGUGAAAUCGAGUAGGGCGGGACACGUGAUAUCCUGUCUGAAUAUGGGGGGACCAUCCUCCAAGGCUAAAUACUCCU